ACAGAAGCAGCAGGGGUGCUGCCUGCAGAGGUUCCUGUGUGAGAAGCCGAAGGCUCAGAGGACCUGGUGGGCGCUGGCCCUGGCUGUGCUGGCCAUCGUGAUCCUGAUAGCCCUGUUCUUUUUCAAAGACGCUGGGAGAAGAUGUUCCCCAAUAAGGACCAUUUCUCUGCAUUCCCACGGAAUCAACAGAAACAUGUGGACCCGGGAGAAAUAACGGAAUCAACCUGAAUAGCAAAUUACCUGUGAAAACCUUUCAAAUGCAGUGGUAAUCCAUCAAAGAAAAGAAUGGAAAGGCUUCAGAGGCGCACAUAGAGGACUAUGGCUGAAGGACCCCUUUUGCCUUAUUGAUCUUCUGUCUGGAGGAUCUGUCCAAUGAUGUGAGUGGGGUGUUAAAGUCUCUUACUAUUAUUGUAUUCCCAUCAAUUUCUCCUUUUAUGUCUGUUAGUAUUUGUUUUACGCCAGUAAUUUUCUUAUGGCUGUACCCAUGGCAUAUGAAAUUUCCCAGGCCAGGGAUCAAACCUGAGCCUCUGCAGCAAACUGAGCCACUGCAGUCGAAUUCUUAACCCACUGUGCCACAGCAAGAACUCUGAAAUCCGUUUAUUUUAAAUUGCAGAAGAAAAAGGCAAUUACUGUCUGUUUUUCUUCCCUACCAUAGCCACAUCCCACACACACCCAAGGGAGAAGUUCUCCCUUGAGCACAAAGUGUGGGAAAUGUGGAAAUGAAACUUCAAGUCAGAGGUUAGGGGGAUUUAGUAAUCGUGAUUACUAAGAAAAAAA
RNAcentral lists this long non-coding RNA (777 nucleotides) under Sus scrofa (pig). RNAcentral describes it as "lncRNA (ENSSSCG00045013542.1)". Lineage: Eukaryota; Metazoa; Chordata; Mammalia; Artiodactyla; Suidae. The record is from RNAcentral.